This 477-nucleotide ribosomal RNA is filed under the name uncultured Candidatus Scalindua sp. RNAcentral's name for it is "bacterial SSU rRNA". It matches the Rfam family "Bacterial small subunit ribosomal RNA", at positions 365 to 832 of the family's 1533-position model. Lineage: Bacteria; Pseudomonadati; Planctomycetota; Candidatus Brocadiia; Candidatus Brocadiales; Candidatus Scalinduaceae. The record is from RNAcentral.
UUCGCAAUGCCCGAAAGGGUGACGAAGCGACGCCGCGUGAGUGAGGAAGGCCUUCGGGUUGUAAAGCUCUGUCAGGAGUUAAGGAAUAUAAGUGUGCCAAUACCACAUUUAUUUGACAAAGGCUCCAAAGGAAGCCACGGCUAACUCUGUGCCAGCAGCCGCGGUAAUACAGAGGUGGCAAGCGUUGUUCGGAAUUAUUGGGCGUAAAGAGCACGUAGGUGGGCUUGUAAGUCAGAUGUGAAAGCCUUCUGUUCAACGGAAGAAUUGCAUCUGAAACUGCGAGUCUUGAGUGUAGGAGGGGAGAAUGGAACUUCUGGUGGAGCGGUGAAAUGCGUAGAUAUCAGAAGGAACGCCGGCGGCGAAAGCGAUUCUCUGGCCUAUUACUGACACUCAGUGUGCGAAAGCUAGGGGAGCAAACGGGAUUAGAUACCCCGGUAGUCCUAGCUGUAAACGAUGGGCACUAAGUAGAGGGGCAUU